UCAUCAAAGGCACUGGUUCACUGAAAACCCUGCUGCUGCUCAAACUCAGUGUCACACUACACCUCAUCAUCCUGUGCUGCACUGUUGCCACUAGCAUCUGUUGCUAGCCCUUUCCCUUUGCUUGGACUUAGCCUAAAUACAUCUGACAUUCCAGUCUAGGUGCUUACUGUCUUGCUAGAAUGCAAAGCCAAUGACUUGCUCAAUG
This 205-nucleotide long non-coding RNA is filed under the name Sorghum bicolor (sorghum). RNAcentral's name for it is "long non-coding RNA (SBIC_LNC018429)". Lineage: Eukaryota; Viridiplantae; Streptophyta; Magnoliopsida; Poales; Poaceae. The record is from RNAcentral.